RNAcentral lists this ribosomal RNA (1251 nucleotides) under metagenome. Its description in RNAcentral is "bacterial LSU rRNA". It matches the Rfam family "Bacterial large subunit ribosomal RNA", at positions 1677 to 2925 of the family's 2925-position model. The record is from RNAcentral.
UAGACUAAGGGGAGCGGGAGAACCUCCGCUAAGGAACUAGGCAAAAUGGCCCCGUAACUUCGGGAGAAGGGGCGCUCCUGCGGGUUAAGAGCUAGCGGGAGCUGCAAAGACCAGGCUCUGGCGACUGUUUACCAAAAACACAGGACUCUGCGAACACGAUGAGUGGACGUAUAGGGUCUGACGCCUGCCCAGUGCUGGAAGGUUAAGGGGAGUGGUCAGCGCGAGCGAAGCUACGAACCGAAGCCCCAGUAAACGGCGGCCGUAACUAUAACGGUCCUAAGGUAGCGAAAUUCCUUGUCGGGCAAGUUCCGACCUGCAUGAAUGGCGUAACGAUCGGAGCACUGUCUCAGCGGAGGGCCCGGUGAAAUUCCAAUCUUGGUGAAGAUGCCAAGUUACCCGCGAUUAGACGGAAAGACCCCAUGAAGCUUUACUGUAUCCUAAUAUGGUAUAGUGGUGGAAGGCGUACAGGAUAGGUGGGAGGCAGCGAACGCAGCGCGUCAGCGCUGCGGGAGCCGACGGUGGGAUACCACCCUCCUUCCAGCGUUAUACUAACCGAGGUAGGUGGAGAGCCUAUCAGGGACAGUGUUAGGGGGGCAGUUUGACUGGGGCGGUCGCCUCCAAAAAGGUAACGGAGGCGCGCGAAGGUGGGCUCAGGCUGGUUGGGAAUCAGCUGGCGAGUGCAAGGGCAAAAGCCCGCCUGACAGUGAGAGAGACAUCUCGAGCUGAGACGAAAGUCGGUCCUAAUGACCAGGUGGUGCUGUGUGGAAAGGCCAUCGCUCAACGGACAAAAGCUACUCUGGGGAUAACAGGCUGAUACCGUCCGAGAGUCCAUAUCGACGACGGUGUUUGGCACCUCGAUGUCGGCUCAUCGCAUCCUGGGGCUGUAGUCGGUCCCAAGGGUUGGGCUGUCCGCCCAUUAAAGCGGUACGUGAGCUGGGUUCAGAACGUCGUAAGACAGUUCGGUCCCUAUCUGUCGCGGGCGCAGGAUACUUGAGAAGGCUUCUCCCCAGUACGAGAGGACCGGGAGGAGUGGACCGCUGGUGAACCAGUUGUGCUACCAAGCGCAUAAGCUGGGUAUCUAAGUCCAUGAGUGAUAAGCGCUGAAAGCAUCUAAGCGCGAAACAUGCUUCAAGAUGAGGUAUCCCAUCGAAAGAGUAAGGGCCGUUCGAGAACAGGACGUAGAUAGGCCGCAGGUGGAAGCGGCGCGAGCCGUGCAGCCGAGCGGUACUAAUCGCCCGAGGCCUUGACCUA